UUCUUCUCUCACUCGUGAAACACCACCAUCUCUCUCUAAACUCUAUAUUUUCACGUUAGAUCUUCAGAACUACUCAUUUGGAGCAACAUCUCUCAUUGCUCCUUUGAGACUAAGUGUAGAGUUUAUUGAGGGCUUCCUUCUAAUUGGAGCAAAACAUCGUUUUGCCACAUUUGACUUUUGAGGCUUUUCUUCAUUUCUUUCUCUUUGCUUUGAGGUGUUGACGACAUGCCUACGCCAAAAUGAGAGCUUGGGAGGAUUUUGGAGCUUAAGGUUUGUUUUGUUUUACUUUCUUUUGUAUAGCCAUGGGCUUUCUUGUAUUAGACUUUGACCUGCUUUUGUUGUAACUAAGCUAAGUCUUGGAGACUUGUAGCCUAUAGGGUAUAAACUUAUAUUUAUUUACUCAUGUUCUAGGAUCGAUGAAUGUAUAAAUACAUGUGAUAUUAUUUUGUAAAACUCGGAGGACUUUUAUAUAUGGAGUAUAGUUUUG
This is a non-coding RNA of Camellia sinensis, 487 nucleotides long. The record is from RefSeq and is a predicted model, not a curated record. NCBI's taxonomy places the organism in Eukaryota, Viridiplantae, Streptophyta, Magnoliopsida, Ericales, Theaceae.